UGCCAGCAGCCGCGGUAAUACGGAGGGUGCAAGCGUUAAUCGGAAUUACUGGGCGUAAAGCGCGCGUAGGCGGUUUGGUCAGUUGGAUGUGAAAGCCCCGGGCUUAACCUGGGAACUGCAUUCAAUACUGCCAGACUCGAGUACGAGAGAGGGGGGUAGAAUUUCUAGUGUAGCGGUGAAAUGCGUAGAUAUGUGGAGGAACACCAGUGGCGAAGGCGGCUGCCUGGCCCAAUACUGACGCUGAGGUGCGAAAGCGUGGGGAGCGAACAGGAUUAGAUA
Molecule: ribosomal RNA, 279 nt
Filed under: uncultured bacterium
Lineage: Bacteria
Description: partial 16S ribosomal RNA
Rfam family: Bacterial small subunit ribosomal RNA
Source: RNAcentral